RNAcentral lists this ribosomal RNA (112 nucleotides) under Lepisosteus oculatus (spotted gar). The record is from RNAcentral. Lineage: Eukaryota; Metazoa; Chordata; Actinopteri; Semionotiformes; Lepisosteidae.
GCCAGCAGCCAUAUCAGUUUGCAACUGGCAACACACUGAAGCUAAGCAGGUGUGAGCCUGGCCAGUAACUGGAUGGGAGGCCUCCUGGGAAAAACUAAGGUUGGUGCUGGAA